CAUGGCAUAACCGUGGUAAUUCUACAGCUAAUACAUGAGCAAAAUCUCAACUUUAUUAGAAGAGACGCAUUUAUUAGAUAAAAAGCCAAUGCAUGCUUUUACAGUAUGGAAAUUGGUGAUUUAUAAUAACUUGGCAAAUCGCAAAGUGAAAACAGGCGAUAAAUCAUUCAAGUUUCUGACCUAUCAGCUUUCGACGGUAUGGUAUUGGCUUACCGUGGCAGUGACGGUUAACGGGGGAUUAGGGUUCGAUUCCGGAGAGGGAGCCUGAGAAACGGCUACCACAUCUAAGGAAGGCAGCAGGCGCGCAAAUUACCCAAUUCUAACAGUUUGAGAGAGGUAGUAACAAGAAAUAACAAUACAAGGCAAUUAAAAUGCUUUGUAAUUGGAAUGAUAGAAAUUUAAACCCUUUUUAAAGUAUCAAUUGGAGGGCAAGUCUGGUGCCAGCAGCCGCGGUAAUUCCAGCUCCAAUAGCGUAUAUUAAAAUUGUUGCAGUUAAAAAGCUCGUAGUUGAAGUUCUGCUAAAAGUAACCGGUCUGCUUUUAAUAAAAGUGGUAUCUUGGUGUGUAUUUAGCAAUGAUGUCCUUUGAAGUGUUUUUUACUUUAUUGUAAUAAAGCAUAUUCAGGACUUUUACUUU
RNAcentral lists this ribosomal RNA (635 nucleotides) under Hepatozoon canis. Its description in RNAcentral is "SSU rRNA". It matches the Rfam family "Eukaryotic small subunit ribosomal RNA", at positions 138 to 758 of the family's 1831-position model. Lineage: Eukaryota; Apicomplexa; Hepatozoidae. The record is from RNAcentral.